UCGACAACAAUCUGGCAACUGUUCUCAUAUGUCAAAAUGGUAUAAACAGACGCGUGUUUUUACAUGUUAGCUGGACACCUUUAGAAUUCAAGCAAUACAUGUUAGCUGGACACCUUUAGAAUUCAAGCAAUCUCUGAACAAUUAGCUCAGCAAGUCACAAUCACAUCAAAAUCUGAGCAAUUAGAAGGGUGCCAUCACGCCCUUUGCACUGAAAAUCGAUUUCCACCCACCAUGUCCUCAUCCUGCGCUCAGCUGGAACCUCAUAAUGCAGCUCAGAACACACAAUGAUCCAUGAAGGCAACAGAGCGACAGUAGCUUCGAUGGAUUGUGGGUCCUGUCACAAGAGCAACAUACCCCUGGAUGCAGAUAUACUUGGACUGGAGCUUGUCAGCAAACAGCCUGCUGCGCUGGUGGAAAGAGAUGCUGGUGGCGAUCGGCACCCACAAGAGGCAUUGUCGUUACCGGCAUGUGGCAGCGGCCAUGAGCGAGAUGAGGAAUCGAUGGGGUACUCUCGAUCAUAUAGGAAUAGAGAAGCCAACAGAUAAGGCCAGGACCAAAGGGUACAAUGGUCCUUUCAACUGCCAGAAAUGUGGAAGGAAGAUAAAUGAUUAAGGCUAAAUGUGGAAGGAAGAUAAAUGAUUAAGGCCUUUUUGGAUGCAUCCGUAUCCAACUCAAUCCAUGUGGGUUGGAGUGGAUUGAGGUGGAAAAUAGUUUAAGUUCCACCCAAUCCACUCCAACACAUGUGGAUUGAGAUAGAUACGACUGUUAUGAUGCUUAGUUCAUAUGGGGGUAAUGGCGGUAGGAUAAUGGCGCCAAGGCUUUGUGGCCUAGCUGCCGAAGCAAGGGGAUGAGAGAUUAGACUGAUAGCAGGGAGAUGAGAUUAGAGAUAGCAUGGGGGUGAGUUGAGAGAUAACUUCAUUCUUCAUUGCUUCCUUCAUUCCAUUGAUGUUGGUUACAAUAUAUAGGAGCUGAGCUCCUUGCUAGGCGCAU
RNAcentral lists this long non-coding RNA (990 nucleotides) under Sorghum bicolor (sorghum). RNAcentral describes it as "long non-coding RNA (SBIC_LNC013205)". The stretch from base 657 to 764 matches the Rfam family "MIR5565 microRNA precursor family". Lineage: Eukaryota; Viridiplantae; Streptophyta; Magnoliopsida; Poales; Poaceae. The record is from RNAcentral.